Molecule: unclassified non-coding RNA, 300 nt
Filed under: Variovorax sp. OV329
Lineage: Bacteria; Pseudomonadati; Pseudomonadota; Betaproteobacteria; Burkholderiales; Comamonadaceae
Description: Long range pseudoknot
Source: RNAcentral
ACCGACGACGGCGACUACAACAUCAAGAUGCGCAACAUCCGGCGCUUUCUUGAAGAAGGCGACAAAUGCAAGAUCACGCUGCGCUUCCGCGGCCGCGAGAUCACGCACCAGGAACUGGGCCUGGCGCUGUUGCAGCGCAUCCGGGACGACCUUGGCGACACCAUCCUCGUCGAGCAGUUCCCCAAGCUCGAGGGCCGGCAGAUGAUCAUGAUGAUCGCUCCGGGCCGCAAGAAGCCGGGUGCCGCUGGGGUUGCCAAGCCGGCCGGCGAGCCGGUUGCCAGCACGGCCACGACGGCCUGA